GAUGAACGCUGGCGGCGUGCCUAAUACAUGCAAGUCGAGCGAACAGAUGAGGAGCUUGCUCCUCUGACGUUAGCGGCGGACGGGUGAGUAACACGUGGAUAACCUACCUAUAAGACUGGGAUAACUUCGGGAAACCGGAGCUAAUACCGGAUAAUAUUUUGAACCGCAUGGUUCAAUAGUGAAAGACGGUUUUGCUGUCACUUAUAGAUGGAUCCGCGCUGCAUUAGCUAGUUGGUAAGGUAACGGCUUACCAAGGCAACGAUGCGUAGCCGACCUGAGAGGGUGAUCGGCCACACUGGAACUGAGACACGGUCCAGACUCCUACGGGAGGCAGCAGUAGGGAAUCUUCCGCAAUGGGCGAAAGCUUGACGGAGCAACGCCGCGUGAGUGAUGAAGGUCUUCGGAUCGUAAAACUCUGUUAUUAGGGAAGAACAAAUGUGUAAGUAACUAUGCACGUCUUGACGGUACCUAAUCAGAAAGCCACGGCUAACUACGUG
Molecule: ribosomal RNA, 497 nt
Filed under: uncultured bacterium
Lineage: Bacteria
Description: partial 16S ribosomal RNA
Rfam family: Bacterial small subunit ribosomal RNA
Source: RNAcentral